GGGCACGUGCGGCGGACUACACAUGCAAGUCGAGCGGAUGAAGGGAGCUUGCUCCUGGAUUCAGCGGCGGACGGGUGAGUAAUGCCUAGGAAUCUGCCUGGUAGUGGGGGAUAACGUCCGGAAACGGGCGCUAAUACCGCAUACGUCCUGAGGGAGAAAGUGGGGGAUCUUCGGACCUCACGCUAUCAGAUGAGCCUAGGUCGGAUUAGCUAGUUGGUGGGGUAAAGGCCUACCAAGGCGACGAUCCGUAACUGGUCUGAGAGGAUGAUCAGUCACACUGGAACUGAGACACGGUCCAGACUCCUACGGGAGGCAGCAGUGGGGAAUAUUGGACAAUGGGCGAAAGCCUGAUCCAGCCAUGCCGCGUGUGUGAAGAAGGUCUUCGGAUUGUAAAGCACUUUAAGUUGGGAGGAAGGGCAGUAAGUUAAUACCUUGCUGUUUUGACGUUACCAACAGAAUAAGCACCGGCUAACUUCGUGCCAGCAGCCGCGGUAAUACGAAGGGUGCAAGCGUUAAUCGGAAUUACUGGGCGUAAAGCGCGCGUAGGUGGUUCAGCAAGUUGGAUGUGAAAUCCCCGGGCUCAACCUGGGAACUGCAUCCAAAACUACUGAGCUAGAGUACGGUAGAGGGUGGUGGAAUUUCCUGUGUAGCGGUGAAAUGCGUAGAUAUAGGAAGGAACACCAGUGGCGAAGGCGACCACCUGGACUGAUACUGACACUGAGGUGCGAAAGCGUGGGGAGCAAACAGGAUUAGAUACCCUGGUAGUCCACGCCGUAAACGAUGUCGACUAGCCGUUGGGAUCCUUGAGAUCUUAGUGGCGCAGCUAACGCGAUAAGUCGACCGCCUGGGGAGUACGGCCGCAAGGUUAAAACUCAAAUGAAUUGACGGGGGCCCGCACAAGCGGUGGAGCAUGUGG
RNAcentral lists this ribosomal RNA (916 nucleotides) under Pseudomonas sp. RNAcentral describes it as "bacterial SSU rRNA". It matches the Rfam family "Bacterial small subunit ribosomal RNA", at positions 31 to 944 of the family's 1533-position model. Lineage: Bacteria; Pseudomonadati; Pseudomonadota; Gammaproteobacteria; Pseudomonadales; Pseudomonadaceae. The record is from RNAcentral.